This 400-nucleotide ribosomal RNA is filed under the name uncultured bacterium. Its description in RNAcentral is "partial 16S ribosomal RNA". It matches the Rfam family "Bacterial small subunit ribosomal RNA", at positions 359 to 776 of the family's 1533-position model. The record is from RNAcentral.
GAAUAUUGGACAAUGGGCGAAAGCCUGAUCCAGCCAUGCCGCGUGGAUGAUGACGGCCCUAGGGUUGUAAAGUCCUUUCGACGGGGAAGAUAAUGACGGUACCCGUAGAAGAAGCCCCGGCUAACUUCGUGCCAGCAGCCGCGGUAAUACGAAGGGGGCUAGCGUUGCUCGGAAUCACUGGGCGUAAAGCGCACGUAGGCGGCUUUUUAAGUCAGGGGUGAAAUCCUGGAGCUCAACUCCAGAACUGCCUUUGAUACUGGAGAGCUUGAGUUCGGGAGUGGUGAGUGGAACUGCGAGUGUAGAGGUGAAAUUCGUAGAUAUUCGCAAGAACACCAGUGGCGAAGGCGGCUUACUGGUCCGGUUCUGACGCUGAGGCGCGAAAGCGUGGGGAGCAAACAGG